Molecule: transfer-messenger RNA, 392 nt
Filed under: bovine gut metagenome
Rfam family: transfer-messenger RNA
About the family: Bacterial tmRNA, also known as 10Sa RNA or SsrA, is named for its dual tRNA and mRNA-like properties.
Source: RNAcentral
GGGGAUGUCCGGAUUUGACAGAAUGAUUGAUUAAUAUGGAUUGCGUGUCCGAGCGCUGUUCUCGGUUAUCAACGAGCAUAGCAAAUAAAUGCUAACAAUGUAAUCGAAGCUGAUUUUUCAAGAGCAUCUGCUCUUGCUGCGUAAGACGCAGUCAGCCACUUUAUAAGCCCAACUUGCCGGUUUAUAAGGUCCAUUAUGCAAGUCGCAGUGUGCUGACGACGGUAGGCACAUCAAGUUAACCGUUGAAGGUUUUGUAUUUCCGCAAAAAAUGCUUUGGCAGACUUAACGGUCAUGAUACUUUCCGGAGUAUGCCGAGAAAAUUGGUAUCUACGCACGUAGAAGUUCAUGUUAUUCCAUUUUGGACGUGGGUUCGAGUCCCACCAUCUCCACCA